Molecule: long non-coding RNA, 1717 nt
Filed under: Citrus maxima (pomelo)
Lineage: Eukaryota; Viridiplantae; Streptophyta; Magnoliopsida; Sapindales; Rutaceae
Description: long non-coding RNA (CMAX_LNC001449)
Source: RNAcentral
UGGCAUAUGUUACAUCAAUGGGAAGUCCAUCAACUUGAUUCGGUAGGAGGCUUUUCCUUUGGAUGUUUGGAAGCAUAAUGAUCACCAAUUUGAUUCUGAUUCGCUAGCUGUGCCUGAAACAGCAAACUGCCUCAAGUUUAGAAUGCCAUUGGACAUACAAAAAUUGUAUCAGCCAAGCUACAUAUUAGUACUGAUAUACCAUAUACUACAGCAAGCAGAUUGGUUUUAAAAAUGACGCAAAUUUAUAUCACAAUGGCAAACUAAAUGAUAGCAUAUGAAAUAGAGAUUAUAACAAGCACGUAUAAAGCACUGAAUGAGAAACUUUUCACAUAAAAUGGCCAAUAAUGCAAUAUUACUGGUGAUAUGUGUGUUUGAUCUGGCCAGGGUGAAAAAAUAAAGUCCUUCACUGGGAUUUCCAAGUAUGACCACUCAGCACAAUUAUUACCAUCUCAGAAUGUAAAUCCGUAAAUUCAAGAGGUGUAUCUUGACUAGACUACUUACAUAUGGAAAGGUAUGAAACACAUAUGGCAAGACACAGUUCUUCCAAGAUGAUGAAGCACAUAUUGUACUCCAAUUGGAUUUUCUUUUAAAUAUAACAUCACCUUAAUCCUUUAGUGUAAUUGCAGAAUCGUAUUUAUGACUACAUUUGCAAGCUCCUCCUUUUAACUAUUCUGAUGCCUGUUAAACAUGUUUCUAAUCCUAUAAAACAACAACACCAGCAACAAAAAAGACAAUUAACAGAAGUACUGAAACCUCAAUAAAUAUUAUAAUCAAUAGUUUGAAGUGUCACCCACAGUGGACAUUUCAAAGUUGGCCACUUCAGGGAAGCCAAGAAAGCCAAAAUAUCUCUCAAUAUUGAGACAAUGUGUGUAUCCGUUUAGUUCAUGUGGUUAUGGUAGUAGUUACUAGAGAAAACCAACAGUUUGCAGAACAUAACUCCUGUCGUAAAUUACGUCACACAUAAGCUCAGUCCUAAAUUUCCUCGUAUUCCAAGAGUCAUUAUGUUAUUUCCACCUCGUAUUCCAAGAGUCAUUAUGUUAUUUCCACCAACGAACAUUAAUAAGAUAACCAACGAAAAAUUUGAACUGCAAAUAAGCUGAAAUUGGUUGAGUUUGUGCUCAAGCCUUGCUCGUUACGCAUGAUAUACUCAAUAGCUUGCACAACAACACAAGGAAACUUCAACCUCGAGUCAGUUCUUGUAAUUGAUCUGAACUCAAUUUCGACUCACUUCGAGUGCGGAAUAAGAAAAAUGGUUCAGUUUGAAAAUAAGGAAACCUUAGACAUACGCUUAAAUCUCCAUAAUUUGCAGCAUAAUUGUUUCAAAAACAAAAAAUUUGCAUACGCACUGAAUCAAGAUAAAAGUGUACAAGCAACACAAGAUUUGUAAGUUUGUCAAUGUAAUAUCAAGAUAUGAUUAAAAUCAAAAAUCGAAAUCAAAAUCAAAAUCAAAAUCAGAUCAAAUCAAUCAAUCUAUUGAAAAUAAAUAAAUUUUAAAAAAGGAGUAGCAGCAACAGCAGCACCUUACAGAUGGGGCAGCUAACUUUGAGGGCAACAGCUCUGGCCUCGAUCUGAGAUCCCUUCGGCUUUUGAUUCCUCUCUGCGUUUCUCUUCUGCGCCUCAAUCUUCUGCUUUCCUCUCGUCAUCUCUUUGUCUCUCUCUAUUUGCGUAACCAAAUCCAACGCCAAAUCCCAAAUAUUAUCUAGCCUUUAAGUUUUGG